This 402-nucleotide ribosomal RNA is filed under the name uncultured bacterium. RNAcentral's name for it is "bacterial SSU rRNA". It matches the Rfam family "Bacterial small subunit ribosomal RNA", at positions 32 to 417 of the family's 1533-position model. The record is from RNAcentral.
AAUCAACGCUGGCGGCGUGCCUAACACAUGCAAGUCGAACGCGAAAACCCCGCAAGGGGUUAGUAGAGUGGCAAACGGGUGAGUAACACGUGGGUGACCUGCCUUCGAGUGGGGGAUAACGUCCCGAAAGGGACGCUAAUACCGCAUAACAUCCUGCCUUUUAAGAGGUGGACAUCAAAGCUGGGGAUCGCAAGACCUAGCGCUUGAAGAGGGGCCCGCGCCUGAUUAGCUAGUUGGUGGGGUAAUGGCUCACCAAGGCAACGAUCAGUAUCCGGCCUGAGAGGGCGGACGGACACACUGGGACUGAGACACGGCCCAGACUCCUACGGGAGGCAGCAGUGGGGAAUUGUUCGCAAUGGGCGCAAGCCUGACGACGCAACGCCGCGUGGAGGAUGAAGACCU